This is a long non-coding RNA of Piliocolobus tephrosceles (Ugandan red Colobus), 2164 nucleotides long. The record is from Ensembl. NCBI's taxonomy places the organism in Eukaryota, Metazoa, Chordata, Mammalia, Primates, Cercopithecidae.
AUAUGCCCAGUUUAUAUUUAUCCACAUAAUUUCAUUUUAUCAUACAAGAAAAGACAAAAAAUAUAUAUCAUUUUUAAACCUAAAGAAAAGCACAAAAAUUUUCAAAAUUAUUAUUUUGUACUACUGAUUAAAAACUUAUCAAGGGGGUCUGACAUGUAUAUAGAAGAUUUGAUAAAAAUAAAUGAAAACAUAAAAGAAACGAAUAUUGGAUUACCUUUAACUUGUGUUGAUAAAAAUAAAAUCAUAAAAAAUGUAAAAUGGAAUAAGCAGUUUUAUGGUGAUUAUAACAAGUAUGCUAACACAUCAACAUCUUGCUCGUCAGGAGCCGAAACAUAUUCUAGUUUUUCUGAUCUAAAUGAAGAAAUUUUAAAUAAAAAACAAAAUAAUAAAAUAAAAUAUUUUAAAAAAAAGAAUAAGAAAAAGGCAUUUAUAGCUAUGUAUAUGCAUAUAUAUGCUAAUAUAAUUAAACCCAAAAUAAACUUAAAAAAAAAAGAAACAUAUAAUAACUUUUUUUUAUUAAAUCCAAUGUAUUUAUAUAAAACUAGUUUUAUAAUACAAAAUAAAAAUGAUUUUUAUGUUAAUUAUUCUUUUGAAAGUUUAAAAAACUUGACCCAUAUUUCAAAUAAAAAUAAAACAGGUACUAUGGUAAAUGAUUCGUUGAAGUGUGUAUGUAAGGAAGAAGCUCAACAGAAUAGUUUGAUACUCCAAAACGGUGAUAACCAAUUAAACCAACUGAGUCAACUGAGUCAACUGAGUCAACUGAGUCAACUGAGUCAACUGAGUCAACUGAGCCAACUGAGCCAACUUGAAAAGACUCGUGUUUUAUCACACGAGAAACAAGUAAAGGAUAACAUGUAUGACGACAAAGAAAACGGUGACGUAAGAAAAGGUAGUGCACAACAUGUACAAGAAAAUGAUUACAUACGCUAUUACAACUAUUUUGAUUUAUUAAAAGCUAUUAAAUUAAGAGAGCAAACAGAAGAUGUAAAAAAAAAAGACGAAAUGAAAGAAAAGAAAAAAAUAGUAGGUAAAAACGAAAGUAAUAAAGAGGAUAAAGGCAAAUGCAAAAACACCAAAUCGGUGACAAAGGACGUCAUUUUAAUUGAUAAAAAAAAUAAUAAUGAAAAAGAAAUAUACUGUUGUGACGAAUCGUAUUAUAACUUAAAUCAAAAAAUAAUAAACUAUUUAUAUGAACAAGGAGAUAGUAACAAAAUUAGAGUGUAUGUUUUAGUACAAAAUAGACCAAGUAAAGAAACAGCCAAUAUGGAUAACUCAACUAAUUUAUCAGUUAUAACAAAGGUUGGAGAAAAUGAAAAAGAGACAAAUACUACUACAAGUGAUAAAUGUUAUAACAAAUAUCGAUAUAUUCGUAAAAAGGAGAUAAAUAAUCAUAGUUUAGGACCAUAUGAAACAAAAAAAAUUAAUUUAUAUUUUUUAAUAAACAAAUAUGGCUAUCACGAAGUAAAUUUAGAAAUAAUAUUUUAUAUGGGUAAAUAUAAAACCAAAAAAAAUAUACAGUUUAACAUUUUGACAAAAUGUAGAGGUAUCAAAUUAGAUAAGAAAAGUUAUAUAAUAGCAAAUAGCUAUGCACAUUACUGUUUUUGUAACACAUUUGUUAUAACAAAUUAUGAUAAGGACUUAAAAUUUAUUUAUCUUAAUAAUAUUGAUUAUAAAACAUAUGGGUUUAUAUCAUUAUAUUAUUUAUACUCGAAGGUGUUAAAACUGUUAGAAAACAAAAAAAACAAAAAAAAAAAUAAACACAUUUUAAAACAAAACGAUUUUUUAUCUAAUUUUAAAAAUAAAAUGGAUGAGUAUAUCGAUAAAGUAAUAGAUAUGGAUAGUGUCACAAAAGAAAAGUUAUAUUUUUAUUGUGACAUGUGUAAAUGUAAGUUUAAGUAUGAUUGUUGUGUAAGCUAUUUAACAAGAUUGUUAUUUGGUGAUGACAUUAGUGUUAAUAAAAAGACGAAUGAUAAAAACGGGAUUGUCCAAGAUAAUGACGCGUGUAAUAGUCGUACAUUUUUUUUUUCCUUCUUAUUCUUUUCACAUGUUGGUUCUAUUUCUCCACUUUUAAACGUAAAAAAAAAAUAAAAUAAAACUAUAGAGAAUAGUUAUUGCACAUAUGCGUUAUUACUACAUUUGGAUGAUGUAUACGUGUGUUUGGCAU